This 207-nucleotide ribosomal RNA is filed under the name uncultured bacterium. RNAcentral describes it as "partial 16S ribosomal RNA". It matches the Rfam family "Bacterial small subunit ribosomal RNA", at positions 568 to 774 of the family's 1533-position model. The record is from RNAcentral.
CGCGUAGGCGGCCCUUCAAGUCAGGCGUGAAAGCCCCGGGCUCAACCUGGGAGGUGCGCUUGGGACUGGAGGGCUGGAGUUCGGGAGAGGAGCGUGGAAUUCCCAGUGUAGAGGUGAAAUUCGUAGAUAUUGGGAAGAACACCAGUGGCGAAGGCGGCGCUCUGGACCGAGACUGACGCUGAGGCGCGAAAGCGUGGGGAGCAAACA